Molecule: ribosomal RNA, 402 nt
Filed under: uncultured prokaryote
Description: bacterial SSU rRNA
Rfam family: Bacterial small subunit ribosomal RNA
Source: RNAcentral
UGGGGAAUAUUGGACAAUGGGGGCAACCCUGAUCCAGCAAUGCCGCGUGAGUGAUGAAGGCCUUAGGGUUGUAAAGCUCUUUUGCCAGGGAAGAUGAUGACUGUACCUGGAGAAUAAGCCCCGGCUAACUUCGUGCCAGCAGCCGCGGUAAUACGAAGGGGGCUAGCGUUGUUCGGAAUUACUGGGCGUAAAGGGCGCGUAGGCGGCCGUUUAAGUUAGGUGUGAAAGUCCUGGGCUCAACCUGUGGACUGCACUUAAUACUGGAUGGCUUGAAUUCGGGAGAGGAUAGCGGAAUUCCCAGUGUAGAGGUGAAAUUCGUAGAUAUUGGGAGGAACAUCCGUUGCGAAGGCGACUCUCUGGACCAAUACUGACGCUGAGACGCGAAAGCGUGGGGAGCAAACA